UCAACGGAGAGUUUGAUCCUGGCUCAGGACGAACGCUGGCGGCGUGCUUAACACAUGCAAGUCGAGCGGUAAGGCCCUUUCGGGGGUACACGAGCGGCGAACGGGUGAGUAACACGUGAGUAACCUGCCCUACACUUUGGGAUAACCCCGGGAAACCGGGGCUAAUACCGAAUAUGACCACUCUCGGCAUCUUGAGUGGUGGAAAGCUCCGGCGGUGAAGGAUGGACUCGCGGCCUAUCAGCUUGUUGGCGGGGUAACGGCCCACCAAGGCAACGACGGGUAGCCGGCCUGAGAGGGUGACCGGCCACACUGGGACUGAGACACGGCCCAGACUCCUACGGGAGGCAGCAGUGGGGAAUAUUGCACAAUGGGCGCAAGCCUGAUGCAGCGACGCCGCGUGAGGGAUGACGGCCUUCGGGUUGUAAACCUCUUUCAGCUCUGGAGAAGCCUUCGGGUGACGGUAGGAGCAGAAGAAGCACCGGCUAACUACGUGCCAGCAGCCGCGGUAAUACGUAGGGUGCGAGCGUUGUCCGGAAUUAUUGGGCGUAAAGAGCUUGUAGGCGGUUUGUCGCGUCUGCUGUGAAA
Molecule: ribosomal RNA, 585 nt
Filed under: Nocardioidaceae bacterium
Lineage: Bacteria; Bacillati; Actinomycetota; Actinomycetes; Propionibacteriales; Nocardioidaceae
Description: bacterial SSU rRNA
Rfam family: Bacterial small subunit ribosomal RNA
Source: RNAcentral